UGGCAUCACCUACGACCGCAAGGACAUCGUU
This 31-nucleotide non-coding RNA is filed under the name Homo sapiens (human). Lineage: Eukaryota; Metazoa; Chordata; Mammalia; Primates; Hominidae. The record is from RNAcentral.